Molecule: ribosomal RNA, 253 nt
Filed under: uncultured bacterium
Lineage: Bacteria
Description: partial 16S ribosomal RNA
Rfam family: Bacterial small subunit ribosomal RNA
Source: RNAcentral
UACGGAGGGGGCGAGCGUUGUCCGAAGUUACUGGGCGUAAAGCGUGCGCAGGCGGUUUUGUAAGUCUGUCGUGAAAGCCCCGGGCUCAACCUGGGAAUGGCGAUGGAGACUGCAAGGCUAGAGUGUGUCAGAGGGGGGUAGAAUUCCACGUGUAGCAGUGAAAUGCGUAGAUAUGUGGAGGAACACCGAUGGCGAAGGCAGCCCCCUGGGAUAACACUGACGCUCAUGCACGAAAGCGUGGGGAGCAAACAGG